RNAcentral lists this ribosomal RNA (391 nucleotides) under uncultured bacterium. Its description in RNAcentral is "bacterial SSU rRNA". It matches the Rfam family "Bacterial small subunit ribosomal RNA", at positions 28 to 417 of the family's 1533-position model. The record is from RNAcentral.
GAUGAACGCUAGCGGCAGGCUUAAUACAUGCAAGUCGAGGGGCAGCGGGAGUAGCAAUACUUGCCGGCGACCGGCGCACGGGUGCGUAACACGUAUGUAAUCUGCCCAUCACAGGAGGAUAGCCCGGAGAAAUUCGGAUUAAUACUCCAUAAUAGAAGAUAAAGCAUUUUAUUUUCUUGAAAGUUCCGACGGUGAUGGAUGAACAUGCGACUGAUUAGUUUGUUGGUGAGGUAACGGCUCACCAAGACUACGAUCAGUAGGGGUACUGAGAGGUUAAACCCCCACACUGGUACUGAGACACGGACCAGACUCCUACGGGAGGCAGCAGUAAGGAAUAUUGGACAAUGGGGGCAACCCUGAUCCAGCCAUGCCGCGUGUGUGAAGAAGGCCU